UCACUAUUUCACAAAGAAACGUAACACAAGACAUCACACAUUCAAAAUCCACUAUAUGAUUUUUUUUUCCAACAGGUACAUAACAUCAACAUGUUUCAAGCUUUUUCAUACAACAUACACAAGUGCAAAUGUACUAUCUCACACCACACGACAACCAACACAUACAACUAGCAAUCACAUCUAAUUACGUCGUCAAGCUUCAUCUGUCUCUUGUUCAUCCACGACAUCAACUACCAAACCUUCUAAGAUUUCUUGUUGUAUCUCAUCCUGAAAAACAAAGAGAAUAGGGUGACAAGGUCAAAAGACGUACAUGACUAUAUUUUUUUUCAAGUUAAAGGUAGCGAUUUAAUCAUUCAACACUACAGAAGUUAGUGGCUUAUCAGUUCCGUGAGCUUCCCAAGAAGUUGCUGGAACGCCGUACUGCUUUGUGGGUCGCUGCUUGCACCAUGGACAGUGGCAGUAAGAACAAGUCCAUUAUGAAACAAAAUGAAGAACAACAGUAGAAGCAUCUAAAGUGCAACUUUCUAAAGCAUUGGCUUCAUACAUGCCAUUUUUUCAUGCACUAUACCAGCAAACAUCCAUAAAAUGCUCACAAGCUACAUUAAUUAAUCAAAUGCUCAGACAAGCGAGUAUCUUGUCUAGUUGAUUCCCAUCACAUGAGAGCUGCAACUACCUACAAGAAGUAACAGAGGAUAAACACAAUUUUCACCGAACAGUGAGGAAUAAAAAUUUCGGAGCACUAUGCUACUAGCAUGAAGAAACAUCGCAUCAUAGAGACUGUCUGCUGAAACGCACACAGAUGUGUCAGUCCUGAAUCCUGAUGAAUAUGUAUGUGGCAUGCAUGACUAUCAUGAAACCUCUAAGCUAUAAAUGAAUUGAAACCCACCAAGAUGCAACUGCUACCCGAGCCAUUCAUAUCAUCAACAAUACUACAUGCGACCAUAUGACUGUAUUAAUCAGAGGAACAAUUCUAGAUAAUUAACCAGACAACAAGGGGAUACCUGCUUACAUUUAUCUGCAGCUCGGUGGUGCGUGCGUGCAUAGGUGACCAAGACUGUACAGGCGAGGAAGCAGUAGAGGAUGUGCAGCUACGACGAUUUAAUUAAGCUGGAGCGUCCACCGCAAUGCGAUCUUGCUUGAACGAACCACCGGCCUUCGCCCAGACUAGCCCCCUGAUGGGCGCCCCAGAUCCCUGCU
Molecule: long non-coding RNA, 1197 nt
Filed under: Triticum aestivum (bread wheat)
Lineage: Eukaryota; Viridiplantae; Streptophyta; Magnoliopsida; Poales; Poaceae
Description: long non-coding RNA (TAES_LNC003619)
Source: RNAcentral